GAUGAACGCUAGCGGGAGGCCUAACACAUGCAAGCCGAGCGGUAUUUGUCCUUCGGGACAGAGAGAGCGGCGUACGGGUGCGGAACACGUGUGCAACCUGCCUUUAUCUGGGGGAUAGCCUUUCGAAAGGAAGAUUAAUACCCCAUAAUAUAUCGAAUGGCAUCAUUCGAUAUUGAAAACUCCGGUGGAUAGAGAUGGGCACGCGCAAGAUUAGAUAGUUGGUGAGGUAACGGCUCACCAAGUCAGUGAUCUUUAGGGGGCCUGAGAGGGUGAUCCCCCACACUGGUACUGAGACACGGACCAGACUCCUACGGGAGGCAGCAGUGAGGAAGAUUGGACAAUGGGUGAGAGCCUGAUCCAGCCAUCCCGCGUGAAGGACUAAGGCCCUAUGGGUUGUAAACUUCUUUUAUACUGGGAUAAACCUACUUACGUGUAAGUAGCUGAAGGUACAGUAUGAAUAAGCACCGGCUAACUCCGUG
This 479-nucleotide ribosomal RNA is filed under the name uncultured bacterium. Its description in RNAcentral is "partial 16S ribosomal RNA". It matches the Rfam family "Bacterial small subunit ribosomal RNA", at positions 28 to 507 of the family's 1533-position model. The record is from RNAcentral.